Molecule: long non-coding RNA, 241 nt
Filed under: Trifolium pratense (red clover)
Lineage: Eukaryota; Viridiplantae; Streptophyta; Magnoliopsida; Fabales; Fabaceae
Description: long non-coding RNA (TPRA_LNC001566)
Source: RNAcentral
UGUGAUUCGACUUCGACGGUUACAACGGUUUAAAGGCCUUGGUUCAUUUCAAAUGCAAAAGGACGCGUGGCUGAAGUUUAGUAGUUUAACGUUAGGAUAGACGUUGCUUAGUUUUUCUAUAAAUAGAAGUAUGUAUAAUCGAAGUAGGGGUCACAAUUCAUUUACACAAAAUCUCAAACACUCAAAGUAUCCAUGUUAAGGCGAGAAACGAGUUACUCGAGAAAGAUGUAUGAAUCGGUGA